AUGUACGCAUCAACAACUUUGGAAACGGAAGAAGCAAGUUGGAUUAAGCAGGAAGAUAUGGUUGAUGAUUGGGAGCAGGAAGAGAUUUUCAUGCACGAUGAUGAAAGAAAGCAUGAUCCUAAAAAGCUUGAAGAGCUUGAAAAAUUUAUAACAGAUUUAGAUGUAGGAGAUUCAAUCUUUGUUGUAGAGUCUUAUUCACACAUGCUUAAUUUGAUCAACUUAGCUUAA
RNAcentral lists this long non-coding RNA (228 nucleotides) under Vicia faba (fava bean). The record is from RNAcentral. Lineage: Eukaryota; Viridiplantae; Streptophyta; Magnoliopsida; Fabales; Fabaceae.